GAGGGUAUAGUUUAGUGGUUUGAGUGUGUGCUUAGCAAGCACGAGAUCCUGGGUUCUAUCCUCAGUACUGCCA
RNAcentral lists this transfer RNA (73 nucleotides) under Camelus ferus (Wild Bactrian camel). It matches the Rfam family "tRNA". Rfam says of the family: Transfer RNA (tRNA) molecules are approximately 80 nucleotides in length. Their secondary structure includes four short double-helical elements and three loops (D, anti-codon, and T loops). Lineage: Eukaryota; Metazoa; Chordata; Mammalia; Artiodactyla; Camelidae. The record is from Rfam by way of RNAcentral.